CCCUACAGCACAGUCGUCAGGACUUGCCUUAGACCAUUCGGUGGAAACUUCAAUAUACCAUAAGCCUGGGCGAGCUGACAAUGAUGCAAUGGACACUGACUCUGAGGCAUACCGGGCAUCCAAGGAGGUUGACGGCGAUUCAUCAGUUUCCAUUCCGGCUCAAGUCAUAAUGCCGAUAUGCAAAAAUAGUGUUACAGAUUCAGCCACUGAGAGCUAUCCGACAUCAGACGUUGAGGUAGUAGUGGAAUGCACAGUGCAACAGGUACAACCUCCAGCAUAUCUACAACAACAGACGGAGUCUCAGAAGGUGCAGCAGAUACAAGCUCCAACAUAACUAUCCCC
Molecule: long non-coding RNA, 342 nt
Organism: Ornithodoros turicata
Lineage: Eukaryota; Metazoa; Arthropoda; Arachnida; Ixodida; Argasidae
Exons: 3
Source: RefSeq, a predicted model, not a curated record